UACGAAGGGGGCUGGCGUUGUUCGGAAUCACUGGGCGUAAAGGGCGCGUAGGCGGCUUUAUAAGUCGGGGGUGAAAGCCUGUGGCUCAACCACAGAAUUGCCUUCGAUACUGUAGAGCUUGAGACCGGAAGAGGUAAGUGGAACUGCGAGUGUAGAGGUGAAAUUCGUAGAUAUUCGCAAGAACACCAGUGGCGAAGGCGGCUUACUGGUCCGGUUCUGACGCUGAGGCGCGAAAGCGUGGGGAGCAAACAGG
RNAcentral lists this ribosomal RNA (253 nucleotides) under uncultured bacterium. RNAcentral describes it as "partial 16S ribosomal RNA". It matches the Rfam family "Bacterial small subunit ribosomal RNA", at positions 524 to 776 of the family's 1533-position model. The record is from RNAcentral.